Regulatory RNA element from Pseudobutyrivibrio xylanivorans DSM 14809, 125 nucleotides. Lineage: Bacteria; Bacillati; Bacillota; Clostridia; Lachnospirales; Lachnospiraceae. The record is from Rfam.
UAGAGCAAAAAUGAUGUUUGGAUUAGCAUAGGCACGCUGAGCCAUGGACGGCGAAGCGAGCCUGAUAGUGAAACGGACUGAACUUGAAGGCGGUGCCUAUGCUAACCAAACUCAUUUUGUAGCUC